UACGUAGGGGGCAAGCGUUGUCCGGAUUUAUUGGGCGUAAAGAGCGUGUAGGCGGUUUGGUAGGUCCGUUGUGAAAACUCGAGGCUCAACCUCGAGACGCCGAUGGAAACCAUCAGACUAGAGUCCGGAAGAGGAGAGUGGAAUUCCCGGUGUAGCGGUGAAAUGCGCAGAUAUCGGGAAGAACACCCGUGGCGAAGGCGGCUCUCUGGGACGGUACUGACGCUGAGGCGCGAAAGCGUGGGGAGCGAACAGG
Molecule: ribosomal RNA, 253 nt
Filed under: uncultured bacterium
Lineage: Bacteria
Description: partial 16S ribosomal RNA
Rfam family: Bacterial small subunit ribosomal RNA
Source: RNAcentral